This 1296-nucleotide long non-coding RNA is filed under the name Canis lupus dingo (dingo). RNAcentral's name for it is "lncRNA (ENSCAFG00020004833.1)". Lineage: Eukaryota; Metazoa; Chordata; Mammalia; Carnivora; Canidae. The record is from RNAcentral.
GCCAAAAGCCAGCCCGGAGUCCGCACAGGGACACACUCAAGGGCACACUAAUUAGGACAAUGAGACCGCGUGUGAUUAAUGGCCUUUGGCAGGAGUCUGCCCAGCACUGUGCUGCCUGGGGUCACGGUUCCCUCAAAACCACCGGAAAAGGAUGCCUGGGGGGCUCAGUGGUCGCGUCUGCCUUCGGCCCAGGGCGUGACCCCGAGGUCCUUGGAUGGAGUCCCGCAUCGGGCCCCCCGCCGGGAGCCUGCUUCUCCCUCUGCCUGUGUCUCUGCCUUUCUCUCUGUGUCUAUUGUGAAUAAAUAAAUAAAUUAAUAAAUUAAUUAAUCCUAAAAAAAAAAAAAACUCACAAAACUAAAAGCCACCCGAGCAAAGGUGCAGGUGAGCUUGGGAGCUCUCCAGGAAUCGACCGUGGCUUCAGAAAAGGAAGAGGUUUCAACUUUUAAUUUCUAAAAUGUUGGCUGAUGACUCCUUUUUGCUUAGGGAAAAUGUCAUUGAUAAAUCCUGAAGCUAAAUGUAGAAACUCUGGAGGGGGAAAAAAAAACAAAAAAACUAACGGUGGGAUGAGAUGUGGUUUUUAGAGCUAGAGAAAAUGUCCUGGAAAAUUCUUGGUAACCGAAAACUAACUCGUGAAGCCGGGAACUUCCAAACCAAACACAUCUCCUAAUUCAUUCCUCUGUUGAGUAAUUCUUUGUGGACUGACUUGAGGGGAGGCAUCCAAUAAAAUCUAAUCGUUGGCGUGCAAAUACGCUAGGGCUUUUAUGGGUGACAAUAAAAUGUAGUUUAUCUGGGAAUCAGGUAUUAGCUUCGUGGAAGAGAUUUCUGUGUGUGUGUGUGUGUGUGUGUGUGUGUGUUUAAAAUUUUUUGGCAGCCCUAGGAAAGCUGCAGCAUCCCACAAGGCGCUGCCUAAAACGUUGGGAUUCGAGCAUGAAGUCGCAGCCUCUGCCUUCGUGCUUACGUUCUACGCCCAGAUCGGAGACGGGAUUCACAAAUAAAACCUGGGUUUCCCUUAGGCAGCAUUUACCGUGUGCGGCGUGGUCCGCGGCCGAGGGAAGGAUGUGCAGGGCCUGGGACUCGGGGCUGCAGCCAGGGCAGCGAGGCUCUACGCCCGGAGCUGGCCUGGCAUGGGCACGGCCAGUCGACUGGAAAAGGUGCCAGCCGGCUCCUGGAGCAGGUGUCUUGGAGCAGGUGUGUCCUAGAGCAGGUGUCCUUGAGCAGGUGUGUCCUAGAGCAGGAGUCCUGGAACGCAGGCACACUCACGCACACCCCGGUCUUGAAUCUUGCCACGUGCUCUAG